GUGUCCGUUGUCGUGACUUGCCGGAGAGUUCGGAUCGGAUGGCUGAAGCUCGGUUGGGACGUCUGGUGGAGUGGAAUAGCUCUCUGUCUCAGCAAUCUAAGAGAAGCUUGGAUGUUUUCGAGGCUGCUGAUGGGUUAACUAUUAUCGGGUGCCUUAGGCGUUGAUGCUGCAAACAAAAGUCAUCUGCUGUAGAAGCCCGGAUGAAAACUUUCUGUUGGAGAAAUCCAGCUAGAGUCCAAUUGCUAGAGAAGUCCAUCUGAAAUUUGUCUGAUAUAGAAGCUUGUCUGAAGACUGUCCGCUGGAGAAGUUCGGUUACAUGAGGAAUCCGACAGAAGGUCGACCGAUAGCAAAAUUUGAAAAGUACUAUAGAAGGUUGAUCGAUAGAAGAG
RNAcentral lists this long non-coding RNA (389 nucleotides) under Elaeis guineensis (African oil palm). RNAcentral describes it as "long non-coding RNA (EGUI_LNC072736)". The record is from RNAcentral. Lineage: Eukaryota; Viridiplantae; Streptophyta; Magnoliopsida; Arecales; Arecaceae.